This 834-nucleotide ribosomal RNA is filed under the name Triticum aestivum (bread wheat). Its description in RNAcentral is "partial small subunit ribosomal RNA". The record is from RNAcentral. Lineage: Eukaryota; Viridiplantae; Streptophyta; Magnoliopsida; Poales; Poaceae.
AUGAGCCGCCGGUCCCGCUCCCCCUCGGCCUCGCCGCCGGGCGACCUAGGCAUCCCCUUCCACUGCCCCUCCUCCCCGUCGGAUGACGACGGCAGCUCCUUCCCCGCCCACACGCCGCCGCUGGAGGACGACAACCUCCUCCGCGAGAUCCUCGUCCGCCUUCCUCCGCUGCCGUCCUCGCUCCCGCGCGCCGCCCUCGUCUGCAAGCGCUGGCGCCGCCUGCUCAAGGACCCCGCCUUCUUCCGCCGCUUCCGCGCGCACCACCGGAAGGCCCCGCUCCUCGGCUUCUUCGCCGGCCUGUGCCGCCCAAUCUUCUUCACGCCCACGCUCGACCGGCCGGAUCGCAUCCCCGCCGAGCGGCUCAACCGGUUCAGGGCGAGCGGCGAGGGGCGCGGCCACUUCUGCUGCUGUCGGCACGGCCUCGCCCUCCUCCUCGGCCCGGAGCGGCCCGAAGCCCUGGUGUGGGACCCCGUCACCGGCCACCAGCGCCGGGUGCCUUUUCCGCCAGGGUUCCACAUCAAGAGGCAGGAGACCCUCGUCCGGCAUGCCGCGAUGCUGUGCACUGCCGGCGGCGAUGGCGAUAGCCCGUUUAAGCUGGUCCUGCUACGCUAUAGCCACAACGGGAUCCUUGCUUGCCUCUACGAAUCGGAGUCCGGUGUGUGGGGAAAUGCAGUCAACACAGCGACUCCUCACGAGAUUGAUCCGUUAAGCCAUAGCGUUCUGAUUGGGAAUGCACUUUGCUGGAGGAUCGAUCAUGGUGCCGUCCUUGAGUUUGACACUGAAAGGCAGAGCCUGCGUGUGAUUGAGCGGCCGGCGGAUGCUCGACGUACCUAG